ACGGGAGGCAGCAGUGGGGAAUAUUGCACAAUGGGGGAAACCCUGAUGCAGCGACGCCGCGUGAGUGAAGAAGUAUUUCGGUAUGUAAAGCGCUAUCAGCAGGAAAGAAAAUGACGGUACCUGACUAAGAAGCCCCGGCUAACUACGUGCCAGCAGCCGCGGUAAUACGUAGGGGGCAAGCGUUAUCCGGAUUUACUGGGUGUAAAGGGAGCGUAGACGGCUUUGCAAGUCUGAAGUGAAAGCCCGGGGCUCAACCCCGGAACUGCUUUGGAAACUGUAGAGCUAGAGUGCAGGAGAGGUAAGUGGAAUCCCUAGUGUAGCGGUGAAAUGCGUAGAUAUUAGGAGGAACACCAGUGGCGAAGGCGGCAUACUGGACAUUAACUGACGCUGAGGCGCGAAAGUGUGGGGAGCAAACAGGAUUAGAUACCCUGGUA
This 434-nucleotide ribosomal RNA is filed under the name uncultured Lachnospiraceae bacterium. RNAcentral's name for it is "bacterial SSU rRNA". It matches the Rfam family "Bacterial small subunit ribosomal RNA", at positions 341 to 792 of the family's 1533-position model. Lineage: Bacteria; Bacillati; Bacillota; Clostridia; Lachnospirales; Lachnospiraceae. The record is from RNAcentral.